Molecule: long non-coding RNA, 1029 nt
Organism: Engraulis encrasicolus (European anchovy)
Lineage: Eukaryota; Metazoa; Chordata; Actinopteri; Clupeiformes; Engraulidae
Exons: 3
Source: RefSeq, a predicted model, not a curated record
GCUGUUUAUGUACCCAACCUUGACGUUUCUAUAUGUAACAUGGUGAGCGCUUGUGCCUUUAAGCGCGCUCCCCUGUACCUAAUUGAAGGCCGUCAGCUGGGCUGUUGCGCACCAAUUGUGUGGAUCGGAGUCAUUUUUAAAAACGCGUUGCGCAUGCUACUGCGGGAGGGAGGAAGACCUUGUUGGUUUGUUGGCCAUUUCGCCUGUGGUCCUAGUUUGGGAGUCCGUGCAAGCUGUCACUUCACGGAAUAUGCCAGUUGCGUGGGGUUGUCUGCUCGUCCCCAACACUGCGGUGGUGCCGCUCUUUGACUAGGGCUACCAUUUGCACUGGCUUCCCUUACCAUCUCCUGGUGUUAUGGUGUGUGUCGCUGUCUGUGCGCCCUCUUCCCUCCGUGCCUGUGAAUGAGAUAUUGGUGCCCGCUGCCCAUGGUAGCCGGGUGAUCUCCUACUUGGGGCCGCCCUGGACAGGUUGCUGUUUUGUUUGCCAAGUGUUUCGAAACAAUUGCGCGCCUGAGCGCGCGCACGAGUGGAUUGACUGACUGUGUGUGACUGGUGGUGAGAGAGUGUGGCUGAGAGAGUGCACCUGUUUGAGUGAUUUUCUGUAUUUGAUUUCCAUUUUGUUAAGUUCACGAGAAAGUGAGAGUUCUCGGUCUGUUAAUUUGUAUAUUUUUAUUUUGUGUUUGCUUGUUUGUUCAGGGUACUUCCCUGUCAGUUACGCCCUGUGCCUUUACCAAACCCCCCGUGGUACUUAACUGGAUUGCAGUGCAACGUAGUGUAGGGUGCUUAGGUGCCUGUGUGAACUAAGAUUUGCAGUGGGAAUUGUACAGUUUGCUGUGCUCUGAACUAUUUUCUUUCUUUAUUUAAAUAUGUUUGCGGUGCAUGUUUCAUAGUAGUGGGGUUGAAGUCCAGUAAACGGGGAAUAGACUGAUGGUAUACGCCCUUAGAACUCCCAUUUGAUAUGUCUGUCCUCCACCACUGUUUUUAGUAAAUAUCCUAUUUAAAACGUUGUAUUUUAUACGGACUGAGAAU